This 400-nucleotide ribosomal RNA is filed under the name uncultured Desulfosporosinus sp. RNAcentral's name for it is "bacterial SSU rRNA". It matches the Rfam family "Bacterial small subunit ribosomal RNA", at positions 1145 to 1501 of the family's 1533-position model. Lineage: Bacteria; Bacillati; Bacillota; Clostridia; Eubacteriales; Desulfitobacteriaceae. The record is from RNAcentral.
AGAACUGCCGGGUGGAUAAAACCGGGAGGAAAGGUGGGGAUGACGUCCAAAUUCAUCAAUGGCCCCCUUUAUGGUUUCUUGGGGGGUUAACAACAACGGUGGGCUUAACAAAAUGGACCCGGGUAACAAAAACGGGAAGCGGGAGGCCGCCGAGGAUGAAGCAAAUCUGAUAAAACCGGUCUCAGUUCGGAUUGCAGGCUGCAACUCGCCUGCAUGAAGUCGGAAUCGCUAGUAAUCGCAGGUCAGCAUACUGCGGUGAAUACGUUCCCGGGACCUUGUACACACCGCCCGUCACACCACGGGGAAGUCUGCAACACCCGAAGCCGGUGAGGUAACCUGAAAAGGAGCUAGCCGUCGAAGGUGGGGCCGAUAAUUGGGGUGAAGUCGUAACAAGGUAACC